Vicia villosa (hairy vetch) is the source of this 1594-nucleotide long non-coding RNA. RefSeq lists it as uncharacterized. The record is from RefSeq and is a predicted model, not a curated record. NCBI's taxonomy places the organism in Eukaryota, Viridiplantae, Streptophyta, Magnoliopsida, Fabales, Fabaceae. The transcript has 3 exons.
UUCUAUGUUAGUGUUAUUUAAGAAAAAUUCUGAUGAGGAAAAUUAUAUACACAAAUGUCUUUUGGAAUAUGUUAUCGAAGGAUGAAUUUGCUCCACGUCCUGUUGACAUUUUCACAAAUAGAAAUGUUUUACCUCCUGAUGCAAUUAUUUCAGCAGGUUCUGUGAAUUGUACUCCAAGUAUCCAUCUCUAACACAAUCAUGUUUCCUGUUUGAAAAUGUUCGCUGAUAUGAUGUGCCUCUUUGCUUUAAUGGUUGUAUUCUAUGUUAAUUAUUUCUUUUUGGAUAAUGCAUAUAUAUUGAAGCACUGAAGUCACCUUUGAUGGGUCUGAUUGUUGAAUCAAAUUUGUAGAAUGUCUGAUAUACUGCAGAAAACAAAAGUUCUACUACAAUAAUCGAUGUUUCUACAUAUGUAACUCCUGUGAAGGUACUGGCUACUAAACUUUUCACUUGACUUGGACUUUGAUUCAUCAAAAAGUGAAGAACAUCUAUUUUCUGCGUCAUCUUAUUUCAUUUAGGUUUAUCUAUGCAUACUACUUAAAUUGUAAUGUGAUGGAUCCUGAGGAGCUGGAAGUCCCAAGGGUGUGGUUGCCUUUUGAGUGUGGCUUUUGUUCAUUAAUGCUAACAAAUAAAAUAUUGGUCUCUUACCUUGUAGGAAUUGGUGAGGAAGUGGCUAGAACAGUAGCUUGAGAGGCAUAAGAUUAGCUAAGGGACUUGGGCAUUCUGGUGUUGUAUUUUUGCUUACUUGUGUGGCAACAGGAGGCCUGACAUAUUCAUCUUCAAAUUUACUGUUCUGCUAAUGACAAAGAUGAUGAUGAUAAUGUCGAGUUCUGAAAUGUAUACGAGUAUUGGCCGAUAAAGUUGGUUUCUUAUCUGGGCAUCAUGAAGAAUUGCAUGAUAAGUUCAGUAUAAUGGAUGCUUCUAACGAACAGCUUCGUAAGGAAUUGUAGGAGAAAACAGAGCAGGAAAAUAAAGAGAAAAAUUAUUUUGGUUAUUUGGGAAUUCUUGAGAUUGCUGCCUAUGUGCUGGCUCAAUCUGAACAUUAUGAGGCAAUUACAAAGAUCAACUAUAACUACUACUUAUCUGCGGAAUUUGUGGCACUAUUUACAAACCAUAUUCCAAGCAGGCCUAAUUACAUAGUUGGACAUAUUGUUCAUAUUAAGACCAAAUUGUGAAAGUAUCGUCGGAACACGGUAAGGCGAGACAAUCACUGACAUAGAGACUAAUUCAGAUUCAACUCCAAAUCCACAUGGUCUAUCGGUUGGAUGUGAAUAUUUUGUUGUGACGUAGCCAUGUUACUCGAUACCACCAUUCGUUCAACUUCUCCCACUUCCUAAUCCUGCUUUUUGCUUUUAAAAUAUUUGAAUACAUUUAUGUAUGCAAGUAUUUGGUCUCUAUUUGUUUCUGUUAUUUAUUAAUUAUGCAUUGUUCAGUAUAGCAUGUUAAGUUUGAUCCCUGAGUGAUAAAGUGUUUAAUCUAGUCUGUUAUAUAUUAUUAUGGUCCUAUUAAGUUUGGUCCCUGGAUGAGAAAAUGUUUAAUCAAACGCGUGAUCGUGUAGUAAAAAAUUCCAUUUUUACUAUUUUGAGAUAUAUGCAUU